AUGAAUAUUGACACGCUGGUGAUGCGGAAGAAACUUGCAGAUAAUGAAGGUGCUGAUGACGAAUACUGCAGAUUGUUGAAGGCUUCUGAAGUUCAGUUAGAGGUUGUUAUGAAGUUAGUUAGAGUUUGGUUAACAGUUAGCUUUCUGUUAUGGUUUGGAAGUGGAGAAGUUGCAAAGGCACAGUUAAGCCAUGAAGUAAUAAGCAUGAAGAUUGGUCGUGGAAUUAGAAGAAUGAGAGUGAAGAUGGAUAAGUUUUGCAUAGGUUUAAGAAGGGUUAACAAGUAG
Molecule: long non-coding RNA, 285 nt
Filed under: Vicia faba (fava bean)
Lineage: Eukaryota; Viridiplantae; Streptophyta; Magnoliopsida; Fabales; Fabaceae
Source: RNAcentral